This is a non-coding RNA of Podarcis lilfordi (Lilford's wall lizard), 72 nucleotides long. The record is from the annotation of a GenBank genome assembly. NCBI's taxonomy places the organism in Eukaryota, Metazoa, Chordata, Lepidosauria, Squamata, Lacertidae.
UGAUAGCUCAGUUGGUAGAGCAUGAUACUCUUAAUCUCAGGGUUGUGGAUUCAAUCCCUUCGUUGGGCAAAA